UGGGGAUGACGUCAAGUCCUCAUGGCCCUUAUAGGUGGGCUACACACGUCAUACAAUGGCUGGUACAAAGGGUUGCCAACCCGCGAGGGGGAGCCAAUCCCAUAAAGCCAGUCGUAGUCCGGAUCGUAGUCUGCAACUCGACUACGUGAAGUCGGAAUCGCUAGUAAUCGUGGAUCAGAAUGUCACGGUGAAUACGUUCCCGGGUCUU
RNAcentral lists this ribosomal RNA (208 nucleotides) under uncultured Rhodoferax sp. RNAcentral's name for it is "partial 16S ribosomal RNA". It matches the Rfam family "Bacterial small subunit ribosomal RNA", at positions 1174 to 1382 of the family's 1533-position model. The record is from RNAcentral. Lineage: Bacteria; Pseudomonadati; Pseudomonadota; Betaproteobacteria; Burkholderiales; Comamonadaceae.